RNAcentral lists this ribosomal RNA (753 nucleotides) under uncultured bacterium. Its description in RNAcentral is "bacterial SSU rRNA". It matches the Rfam family "Bacterial small subunit ribosomal RNA", at positions 48 to 793 of the family's 1533-position model. The record is from RNAcentral.
AUUAGGCAUGCAAGUCGAGCGCGAUACCCUAGUUUGAAGCUUCGGCCGAUUUCUAGGGUGGAAAGCGGCGAAAGGGAGAGUAAUGCGUAGUUACGUACCCCGAGGACCGGAAUAGCUGUGGGAAACUGCAGGUAAUGCCGGAUAAUAUCUCUGGAUCAAAUGGUGUGAUUCCGCCUUGGGAGCGGACUACGUUGUACUAGCUUGUUGGUGGGGUAAUGGCCUACCAAGGCGACGAUGCAUACCGGGCGUGAGAGCGUGGCCCGGCUCACUGGGACUGAGACACUGCCCAGACACCUACGGGUGGCUGCAGUCGAGAAUCUUCGGCAAUGGGCGAAAGCCUGACCGAGCGAUGCCGCGUGUGGGAUGAAGGCCUUCGGGUUGUAAACCACUGUCAGUUGGGAGGAAAUCUCAUGGGGCUAUCCCCAUGAGUUGACCUAUCUUCAGAGGAAGGACGGGCUAAGUUCGUGCCAGCAGCCGCGGUAAUACGAACCGUCCAAACGUUAUUCGGAUUUACUGGGCUUAAAGGGUGCGUAGGCGGCACGGUCAGUGGGGUGUGAAAUCCCUCGGCUCAACCGAGGAACUGCGCCCCAUACUGCCGCGCUUGAGGGAGACAGAGGUAAGCGGAACUGAUGGUGGAGCGGUGAAAUGCGUUGAUAUCAUCAGGAACACCGGUGGCGAAGGCGGCUUACUGGGUCUCUUCUGACGCUGAGGCACGAAAGCUAGGGGAGCGAAGGGGAUUAGAUACCCCCGUAG